Molecule: ribosomal RNA, 301 nt
Filed under: uncultured bacterium
Lineage: Bacteria
Description: partial 16S ribosomal RNA
Rfam family: Bacterial small subunit ribosomal RNA
Source: RNAcentral
CAGUCGCCGCGGUAAUACGAAGGGGGCUAGCGUUGUUCGGAAUUACUGGGCGUAAAGCGCACGUAGGCGGAUCGAUCAGUCAGGGGUGAAAUCCCAGGGCUCAACCCUGGAACUGCCUUUGAUACUGUCGAUCUGGAGUAUGGAAGAGGUGGGUGGAAUUCCGCGUGUAGCAGUGAAAUGCGUAGAUAUGCGGAGGAACACCGAUGGCGAAGGCAGCCCCCUGGGCCAAUACUGACGCUCAUGCACGAAAGCGUGGGGAGCAAACAGGAUUAGAUACCCCGGUAGUCCCCUGUCUCUUAUA